This 465-nucleotide ribosomal RNA is filed under the name uncultured bacterium. Its description in RNAcentral is "partial 16S ribosomal RNA". It matches the Rfam family "Bacterial small subunit ribosomal RNA", at positions 28 to 507 of the family's 1533-position model. The record is from RNAcentral.
GACGAACGCUGGCGGCGUGCUUAACACAUGCAAGUCGAACGGAAAGGCCCUGCUUGCAGGGUACUCGAGUGGCGAACGGGUGAGCAACACGUGGGUGAUCUGCCCUUCACUUCGGGAUAAGCCUGGGAAACUGGGUCUAAUACCGGAUAGGAGCCAUUUUUAGUGUGAUGGUUGGAAAGUUUUUUCGGUGUAGGAUGAGCUCGCGGCCUAUCAGCUUGUUGGUGGGGUAAUGGCCUACCAAGGCGGCGACGGGUAGCCGGCCUGAGAGGGUGGACGGCCACAUUGGGACUGAGAUACGGCCCAGACUCCUACGGGAGGCAGCAGUGGGGAAUAUUGCACAAUGGGCGCAAGCCUGAUGCAGCGACGCCGCGUGGGGGAUGACGGCCUUCGGGUUGUAAACUCCUUUCGCUAGGGACGAAGCUUUUUGUGACGGUACCUAGAGAAGAAGCACCGGCUAACUACGUG